This 981-nucleotide long non-coding RNA is filed under the name Meriones unguiculatus (Mongolian gerbil). RNAcentral's name for it is "lncRNA (ENSMUGG00000019262.1)". The record is from RNAcentral. Lineage: Eukaryota; Metazoa; Chordata; Mammalia; Rodentia; Muridae.
CGCACUUAAUAACCACUUGCUGAACGAAUCAGUGCGUUUCCCGAAUCUGUCUGUGUGUCCCCAGGAUCCCAUCAGCAAACGGCAGCCUGAGAACCAGCCCCAGUGCCCCGAGGCGACCGGGGCGGGAAGGGACCGCGACCCAGGAGCAAUGCCGUUCGUCUCACCCACCCAGGCUUCGGUGGCGCUGCCCGUUCGCCCGGCCGGAGGGAUCCGGGGUCAGGCUCCCCACAUGGCCAUCCUCGGAGCCAUGCCCCGGCCCAACGCUCGCUCACGAGACCGUACACCUACCUGGACCAGCUCUGCCUUGCAGCUAAGGCCGCUUCACCCGGGAGACGCUAACUUCCGGCCCCCGGCGGAAGCGGAAACAGCGCUUUGGUUUCCCGCCCACUCCUUAAGCUAGUGUGGACACCGCCUCCUUCAACUGUUGAUCCCUGCGAACUUGUGACGUCUGCUAUGGCGCAUGCGCUCCCGUGGAGGCUCCCGUCUCACCAUGCAGCGCAGGCUGGCCUGGAACCCGAUGUGUAGACCAUGGUCCUGUGCUCAGAGACAAGCCUAUCUCUGUCUUCAGCCUGCUGGAACUGAAGGCGAGGAGCACCAAGCCAGCUGUUCAUCUUCAGCAGGACUUUGCUGUGCUGCCAGACUGGCCCGGAAGUUCUAGACCCAAGUGGUCCUCCUGCUUCACUCCUGUGUGUCUGGGACCACAAGUUCAGCCUUCAUAUCGUGAUGUUUACUUAAAAUCACAUCGAAGCCCGGGCGUGAUGGCAGCUGCCUAUAAUCCCAGCAGGUGUGUGGUGGGGGAGGGGACAGAAACAGGAGGUCCUAGAGUGCAAGGCCAGCCUGUGCCACAUGAGCUGAUGGCUCAGUGGUUAAGAGCACUGGCUGCUCUUCUAGAGGUCAUUAGUUCAAUAUUCAGCAACCGCAUGGUGGCUCACAACCAUCUAUCAUGGAAUUUGAUUCUCUCUUUGGUGUACAUGAAAGAAG